AUUGAACGCUGGCGGCAUGCUUUACACAUGCAAGUCGAACGGUAACAGGCCUUCGGGUGCUGACGAGUGGCGAACGGGUGAGUAAUGCAUCGGAACGUGCCCAAUCGUGGGGGAUAACGUAGCGAAAGUUACGCUAAUACCGCAUAAGCCCUGAGGGGGAAAGUGGGGGGACCGCAAGGCCUCACGCGAAUGGAGCGGCCGAUGUCAGAUUAGCUAGUUGGUGGGGUAAAGGCCCACCAAGGCGACGAUCUGUAGCGGGUCUGAGAGGAUGAUCCGCCACACUGGGACUGAGACACGGCCCAGACUCCUACGGGAGGCAGCAGUGGGGGAAUAUUGGACAAUGGGCGCAAGCCUGAUCCAACAAUGCCGCGUGUGUGAAGAAGGCC
This 386-nucleotide ribosomal RNA is filed under the name uncultured bacterium. Its description in RNAcentral is "bacterial SSU rRNA". It matches the Rfam family "Bacterial small subunit ribosomal RNA", at positions 29 to 416 of the family's 1533-position model. The record is from RNAcentral.